This 77-nucleotide transfer RNA is filed under the name Acidobacteriota bacterium. Its description in RNAcentral is "Acidobacteria bacterium (wastewater metagenome) tRNA-Glu". It matches the Rfam family "tRNA". Rfam says of the family: Transfer RNA (tRNA) molecules are approximately 80 nucleotides in length. Their secondary structure includes four short double-helical elements and three loops (D, anti-codon, and T loops). The record is from RNAcentral. Lineage: Bacteria; Pseudomonadati; Acidobacteriota.
GUCCCCAUCGUCCAGCCAGGUCAGGACACCAGCCUUUCAAGCUGGUAACACGGGUUCAAAUCCCGUUGGGGACGCCA